GGCGGACGGGUGAGGAAUACAUCGGAAUCUACUCUGUCGUGGGGGAUAACGUAGGGAAACUUACGCUAAUACCGCAUACGACCUACGGGUGAAAGCAGGGGAUCUUCGGACCUUGCGCGAUUGAAUGAGCCGAUGUCGGAUUAGCUAGUUGGCGGGGUAAAGGCCCACCAAGGCGACGAUCCGUAGCUGGUCUGAGAGGAUGAUCAGCCACACUGGAACUGAGACACGGUCCAGACUCCUACGGGAGGCAGCAGCG
This 256-nucleotide ribosomal RNA is filed under the name uncultured Stenotrophomonas sp. RNAcentral describes it as "partial 16S ribosomal RNA". It matches the Rfam family "Bacterial small subunit ribosomal RNA", at positions 97 to 356 of the family's 1533-position model. Lineage: Bacteria; Pseudomonadati; Pseudomonadota; Gammaproteobacteria; Lysobacterales; Lysobacteraceae. The record is from RNAcentral.